CAGCCGUAAACUAUGCUCGCUAGGUGUCAGGCAUGGCGCGACCGUGUCUGGUGCCCGCAGGGAAGCCGUGAAGCGAGCCACCUGGGAAGUACGGCCGCAAGGCUGAAACUUAAAGGAAUUGGCGGGGGAGCACAACAACGGGUGGAGCCUGCGGUUUAAUUGGACUCAACGCCGGACAACUCACCGGGGACGACAGCAAUAUGUAGGCCAGGCUGAAGACCUUGCCUGAAUCGCUGAGAGGAGGUGCAUGGCGUAGACGUCU
RNAcentral lists this ribosomal RNA (262 nucleotides) under uncultured archaeon. RNAcentral describes it as "partial 16S ribosomal RNA". It matches the Rfam family "Archaeal small subunit ribosomal RNA", at positions 748 to 1009 of the family's 1478-position model. The record is from RNAcentral.